AGUGCUAGUCACUCAGUUGGGUUUAAUUCUGUGACCCCAUGGACUAUACCCUGCCAGGCUCCUCUGUCCAUGGAAUUCUUCAGGCAAGAAUACUGGAAUGGGUAGCCUUUCCCUUAUCCAGGGGAUCUUCCCCACCCAGGGAUCCAACCCAGGUCUGCUGCAUUGCAGGCGAUUCUUUACCAGCUGAGCCACAGGGAAGCCCAAUUAAUAAGGGCACUUUUAAAAGAGAGACAGACAGGAAAAAAAAAAGAUUCAAAGCAAAAAAUUAAAACCCCAAACCCCUCUACUGCCUUACCAAAAUUAUCCCUGAGAAACAAUUACAUCGGCUGCUCUAUUCCUACUGUGGAGUAAGGGCCCCGAAGACAACUGUGGAGGAGGGAGCUGCCUGGAUUUUGCCCACAUUCUGAGUCUCUAGCCUCAGUUAAGAAAGAAAAAAACCUGUAGCAAUUAACCGUAGGAUACUGCAUGUGUCCUUUCGGUUUCAUUACUCAGAAACCUCACCCAUAACACAUGGCUGUAAAAACCUGCUCGCCUUUCAACUUUUAAGGAGCAGAGCAGGUUUCCGGAGGAACCAGACUCAAGGGGAGCCCCAGGGAAGAGCCAAAGCAGCUGGGAAUUUGAUACCCCGGUGCUCCAAAGCUAAAAGAAGAAUUAGAAGAAAGCUGCAUGAAUAAAGAUGGGAUCCUUCAUGAUACAGAAAAGACCUCAGCAGAGCAGUACGAAAGAGAAGCAGCUAAGAGGGAAAAGGAUUCUCUUGAGCAAAAGAUUAAAGAGCUGCUACAAAUGUUAGAGAACCAAGAAAGAGCCUUCAAGAUAUUUAGAGUCAAAAUCACCAGCAAGAUGAGAGAAAGAGACAAGCUUCUGAGAAGGAUGAACAAGAGGAUUGAGAGGCUGGAGAUCUUAAGAAAGAUAAGGGAAGAACAAGAGGAAUACUACAUGAAGAAAGAGGAGCAGAUCAAAAGAGAGGCAAGUGAGAGGGAAAAAGACCCUUCUGAGCGAAAGGUUAAAGAGCUGCAGCGACAGUUGGAGAACCAAAAGAGAGUUUUGGAGAGAUUAACAGCCAGAGUGAGAAAGGAGAUAAGAGAAAGAGAGAAGACCUCAGCAGAAGAGUGGGCCAGAGGAGAGGCAACUGAGAGGGCAAAGGAACCUCUUGAACAAAAGGCUAAAGAAUUACAGUCAAAGAUGGAGGGCGACAGAAGUGCCAUCUUGAAGGAAGUUAGACUCAAAACGACAAAGAUGAGAGAAAGAGAAAACCUUCUAAGAAGGAUGAACGAGAGGUUUGAGAUGUUGGAGAUCUUGGGGAUGAUAAAGGACGAGCUAGGGGAAUGCUGCAAGAAGACAGAUGAGCUUUGUAAUGCAGCCAAGACCUUGGCAGAAGAGUAUGCCAAGAGAGUGGCAGCUGAGAGGGAAAAGGAACUUCUUGAGCAAAAGGUUAAAGAGCUGCAAGAACAGCUGGAAGACCAAGAAAGGGUCUCUGAGGAAUUAGGAGUCAAAAAGACAGAGAAGCAAAGAGAAAGAGAAAAGACAUCAGCAGAAAUGCUGGCCCAAUGGGAGGAUGCUAUGUGGGAAAAGAAGCAAAUGGUUAAAGAAUUGCAGCAAAAGUUGGAGGACCGAGAAAAAACGUUCGAGAGAUUUAGAGACAAACUCACAAAGGAAAUGAGAGAAAGAGACGACCUUCUGAGAAAGAUGAAUGAGAGGAUUCAGAUGCUGGAACGCUUACUGAGGUUACUAGAAACACUAGAGGAACAGGACAUGAAGAAAGAAGAGCAGGCCAAAAGAGAGGCAGCUGAAAGGGAAAACGAGCCUCUUGAACAAAAGGUUAAAGAACUGCAGCAAAAAUCGGAGAACCAAGAAAAAGUCUUCGAAGUAUUAAGAGACAAAAUGACAGAGGAGUUGAAUGAAAGAGAGAAAGCCUCAGCAGAAGAGCAGAUCAGAAGAGAGGCUGUUGAGAGGGAAAAUGAGUCUCUUGAAAAACAGGUUAAAGAAUUGCAGCAAAAUUUGGAGGACCAAGGAAGAGUCUUCCAGAGAUUAAGAACUGAAAUGACAGAGGAGAUGAGAGAAAGUGAAAACGUCUCAGCAGAAGAGCAGAUCAGACGAGAGGCCACUGAGAGGGAAAAGGAGUCUCUUGAAAAACAGGUUAAAGAAUUGCAGCAAAAUUUGGAGGACCAAGGAAGAGUCUUCCAGAAAUUAAGAACUGAAAUGACAGAGGAGAUGAGAGAAAAUGAAAAGGCCUCAGCAGAAGAGCAGGCCAAAAGAGAGGCUGCUGAGAGGGAAAAGCUUUUAGAGCAAAAGCUUAAAGAAUUGCAACAAAAGUUUGAGGACCAAGAAAGAGCCUUCAAGGUAUUUAGAGUCCAAAUGACAGAAAAGGUGAGAGAAAGAGACAAUUUUCUGAGAAAGAUGAAUGAGAGGAUUGAGAUGCUGGAGGCUGCAGUGAACAAUGAUAAUGACAAGGAUAAUGAGGAAAACACUGAAAAGUACUGAACUUCAUAGACACAGGAAGAUAAUGACAAAGAAAAUACUUCACAGCCUUUUGUUUUAAUCUCAGUUUGGGAGAAUAUAAAACAUGUGUGGUCACUAAUUACUCAGAUUUUUUGUUUGUUUCUUUUAAAUUCUGGUAAUAUUAAAGUUUUCACAAGUGCUUUUUUGAUCUGGAUUAUUUCUAUCUAUGUAUGUACUUUUUCUUUUAUCAUUAAAGUUUUAAUGUAAAAAAUAGAAAAAUCAUCUACUAUAGAACAUCAAUUCCUGGCCCACAAAGGAAAGAAUUAGUGUGGCUGGAUAAUUAAUUUAAGUGGAAAUGGAAGCAACUGAGUAGAAGACAAAGAGGUCAAAUUUGUAAUAUCUUGAAAAAAAGAAAAAUUUUAUUAAGUAAUGCUUCUGAAAGUCACAUAUGAAUAAUUAUACAAAUGAAUAUGUAUACUGGUUUCUUGAGAGGAAAGGACUAAUUUCUUAUACAAAACAACUGUGUUACUUCACUUGUAAAUUUUAUGUGUUUUGAGUUAAAAUUUCACAAAAGCUGAUUGUAAAUUUUAAAUUGAGCUGAUCAAACACAUUAAAAAGCCAUGAAAAUUCAGAAGGGGUACAGGGUUUGGGAAGUUUUCAGCCAUAAUUUCUUCUAUAAAUGAAGUUUAUAGAACUGCAGUCAUUAGAACAAUGUGCCAUCAAGGCAUAAAUCUGAAGACAAAGAAUAACAGCAUGCUGCAUAGUCUAAAAAUAGAACCAACAACAUACCUGAUUAAGGUUGUGUGAAUAGUGUUGUUUCAGAUCAGUGAGACAAUAUAAACAGUACAUGAAGUGCUGUCAGUCUACUGGACAGCCAUAUAGAAUGAGAGUGCCUAGAUCGCUUAUAAAUCUUGCACAAAUAAUAUUCCAGCUUGACUUUAGAUUUAAACAUUAAAAAUAAUCUUGAUAAAAACAGUAAAUGUCAGAUAAUUAUAAAAUAAAUGUGGAAACUUGAAUUUAUUUUUAAGUGAC
RNAcentral lists this long non-coding RNA (3471 nucleotides) under Bos indicus x Bos taurus (hybrid cattle). RNAcentral's name for it is "lncRNA (ENSBIXG00000004308.1)". Lineage: Eukaryota; Metazoa; Chordata; Mammalia; Artiodactyla; Bovidae. The record is from RNAcentral.